Molecule: ribosomal RNA, 305 nt
Filed under: uncultured bacterium
Lineage: Bacteria
Description: bacterial SSU rRNA
Rfam family: Bacterial small subunit ribosomal RNA
Source: RNAcentral
ACCUACGGGGGGCAGCAGUAGGGAAUCUUCGGCAAUGGGGGCAACCCUGAUGCAGCGACGCCGCGUGAGUGAAGAAGUGUUUCGGUAUGUAAAGCUCUAUCAGCAGGGAAGAAAAAAGACGGUACCUGACUAAGAAGCCCCGGCUAACUACGUGCCAGCAGCCGCGGUAAUACGUAGGGGGCAAGCGUUAUCCGGAUUUACUGGGUGUAAAGGGAGCGUAGACGGCAAUACAAGUCGGAAGUGAAAUACCCGGGCUUAACCUGGGAACUGCUUUGGAAACUGUAUGGCUGGAGUGCUGGAGAGGG